GAGGUUGUAUAACCAGGCCAGGUCUGGUAUAAUCCCUCGGUGUCGGAAGGCCUCCAACAGGGGGCCCAGUCCCGUGCGGCGAGAGCCCGUGAACCCCGUCAGGUCCGGAAGGAAGCAGCGGUAAGCGGUGUCUGUCGGGUGCCACGGAGCCCUGGGUCCCCUGUUGGGGGCCUUCUUCUAUUCUU
This 185-nucleotide unclassified non-coding RNA is filed under the name Dethiosulfovibrio salsuginis. Its description in RNAcentral is "Bacterial large signal recognition particle RNA". The stretch from base 63 to 161 matches the Rfam family "Bacterial small signal recognition particle RNA". Rfam says of the family: The signal recognition particle (SRP) is a universally conserved ribonucleoprotein involved in the co-translational targeting of proteins to membranes. Archaeal SRP consists of a 7S RNA and homologues of the eukaryotic SRP19 and SRP54 proteins. In most bacteria, the SRP consists of a 4.5S RNA and the Ffh protein (a homologue of the eukaryotic SRP54 protein). Lineage: Bacteria; Thermotogati; Synergistota; Synergistia; Synergistales; Dethiosulfovibrionaceae. The record is from RNAcentral.